UAUAGCUUGCUUUCUUAAGUAUCUCAGGACC
Molecule: non-coding RNA, 31 nt
Filed under: Mus musculus (house mouse)
Lineage: Eukaryota; Metazoa; Chordata; Mammalia; Rodentia; Muridae
Source: RNAcentral